UUUCAGAUCGGCCACCAAGGUUUUCAACCUUUCCUUUUACCACUCCUGUCCAGCCUUCUAGAAUUUUCCCCUCAAUUUGAAAAGACCUAGGCAUAGGAGAGUCGUCAUCGUCAGCAGGGAAGAUUUUACAGAACCAGCAAUCGGAACUUUGCCUUCAAUUACAAAACCACAGUCACCGGAAUGAUUGUGGGUUUUCACGCUGGUCCUUGGUGGUGCUGAGCAGGGUUUGUGUGGUACGCGAGUAGAGAGUGGCGAGCAGGGUUUGUGAUGUCCUCUUCCAUAACCAGCCGGAUCGGUGACCGGUGACGGCAACACGCAGAUGCUAGGGUUUCUAAGAUUCCGAGAAGCAAAGCCGACCUUCUAUUGCUUAGAGUUUAUCCAUAGAAGAAAAAGGAACAACAAAAAGCUUGGAAACUAAGCUCAAGAAAGAUAACAAUGGCGUCUAGAAGUGUAACAUGGGAAACACUACUCCCGCCGCGUAGCGCGG
RNAcentral lists this long non-coding RNA (487 nucleotides) under Helianthus annuus (common sunflower). Lineage: Eukaryota; Viridiplantae; Streptophyta; Magnoliopsida; Asterales; Asteraceae. The record is from RNAcentral.